CAGCCGCCACGGUAAUACGGAGAGAGCUAGCGUUGUUCGGAAUUACUGGGCGUAAAGCGCGCGUAGGCGGUUACUCAAGUCAGAGGUGAAAGCCCGGGGCUCAACCCCGGAACUGCCUUUGAAACUAGGUGACUAGAAUCUUGGAGAGGUCAGUGGAAUUCCGAGUGUAGAGGUGAAAUUCGUAGAUAUUCGGAAGAACACCAGUGGCGAAGGCGACUGACUGGACAAGUAUUGACGCUGAGGUGCGAAAGCGUGGGGAGCAAACAGGAUUAGAUACCCCAGUAGUCCCUGUCUCUUAUAC
RNAcentral lists this ribosomal RNA (301 nucleotides) under uncultured bacterium. RNAcentral's name for it is "partial 16S ribosomal RNA". It matches the Rfam family "Bacterial small subunit ribosomal RNA", at positions 509 to 807 of the family's 1533-position model. The record is from RNAcentral.